CGGAGGGAUCAUUAAAGAGUUCUAUAACUCCCAAACCCAUGUGAACAUACCUAACGUUGCCUCGGCAGGUCGCACCUACCUUGUAGCACCCUACCCUGUAGGGCCUACCCGGGAGGUGCGGGUAAGCCUGCCGGCGGCCCACCAAACUCUGUUUGAUAUUGAAUUCUGAACCUAUAACUAAAUAAGUUAAAACUUUCAACAACGGAUCUCUUGGUUCUGGCAUCGAUGAAGAACGCAGCGAAAUGCGAUAAGUAAUGUGAAUUGCAGAAUUCAGUGAAUCAUCGAAUCUUUGAACGCAUAUUGCGCCCAUUAGUAUUCUAGUGGGCAGGACCGUUCGAGCGUCAUUUCAACCCUUAAGCCUUCGUUGCUUAGUGUUGGGAGCCUACGGCAACGUAGCUCCUCAAAGUUAGUGGCGGAGUUGGUUCACACUCUAGACGUAGUAAUUUUUUAUCUCGCCUAUUAGUUGGACUAAUCCCCUGCCGUAAAACCCCUAAUUUAUCAAGGUUGACCUCGAAUCGGUUCAGACAAACUCGCUAAAUUGAAGCAUCUUAGUCAGCGAAGGAAAAGAAACCAACAGGGAUUGCCCUAGUAACGGCGAGUGAAGCGGCAACAGCUCAAAUUUGAAAUCUGGCCCUCGGGUCCGAGUUG
Molecule: ribosomal RNA, 648 nt
Filed under: fungal endophyte
Lineage: Eukaryota; Fungi
Description: eukaryotic LSU rRNA
Rfam family: 5.8S ribosomal RNA (bases 191-344)
Source: RNAcentral